UUUUUUUUUUUUUUUUUUAAGAGAGAGAAUUUUUUAAUAUUUAUUUUUCAGUUUUCGGCGGAUAUAACAUCUUUGUAUGUGGUGCUGAGGAUCGAACCCGGGCCGCACGCAUGCCAGGCGAGCGUGCUACCGCUUGAGCCACAUCCCCAGCCCUCCACUAAACUUUAAAAUGACUCAAAUUUGUUGUAAUUUUCCUAUCCUUGGUCUACAGAAAUCCCUUCAAGCUGGCUUGUGAAUUUAUGUAUGUAUGUCUUGUGAAUUCUUUUGUUACACCCUGAUAGUGUUUCUCAGCUUCUGUUACAACAGAAUGUUCCAGGCUUAUUUUAUAUAAUUCUGCUCUGUAUCUAAUAACACCCAUUUCUAUAAGGAGCCUACAGAAAAAUACAUCAUCAACUUAUACUGAUAUUAAAACUUAGAAUGAGGAGGAGGAGGCAGCAUGAGAGGUUCCUAAUGAAGGUAAUAAGAAAGAAUGUAAGACAGGAAAAUAAUUUAAUAUUUUUACUGUGGGCCUUGCUGGGUUGCUGAGGCUGUCCUUGAACUUGUGAUCCUCCUGCCUCAGUCUCCUGAGUUGCUGGGAUUACAGAUGUGUUCCUCUCUACGCAAUUAUUGAAGAAAAUCUUGUGUUAUUCAAAGACUUCUUUCAUUCAAUAUUCUUAUUAACAUGAAGAAUUCUCUUCCUUAAGAACAUAAUUGUGGGGCUGGGGAUGUGGCUCAAAUGGUAGCAUGUUCGCCUAGCAUGCAUGAGGCACUGGGUUCGAUUUCCAGCAUCACAUAAAAAUAAAGUUAUUUUUUUAAAAAAAGAACAUAAUUGUGACUCUUGUGUGAGAUAUUCUUAGGCAUUAAAUGUAAUGAAAAUAUUUAAACAUAUUGAGUUGUUUUUAGGUCUUUUGCCUUGAUUUUAACUUAUUAUUAAUAUUUGAAAACUUGAUGGUUAAGGAUGUGGCUCAAGUCACAGCACACUAGCCUGGCAUGUGUGAGGCAAUGGGUUUGACCCUCAGUACCACAUAAAAAUAAAAUAAAGGUAUUGUGUCCACCUUAAAAAAAAAAAACAAACCUAAAAAGUAGAUAUUUUUAAAAAAUUUGAAAACUUUAUCAACCAGCUAUAAUUGUUUUGAAUACAGAAUGUGUUCCUCUUGCAGGAGCUGUACUUUUGUGUUUUAUUCACCCUUAGGGAAGCCUAAUGUAACUUUCAAAAUAAAUUUCUUAACAUUUUUAAACAUGAAUACCAAUUGCUGAAUAGCAUACAGAAUAUUUCCACAAUUGGGUGAUAAUACAGUAUUUUUCAGUUAUGUAAACUAUGUGAUUGUGCAUUCAUGUGUAAACCUAUGUGUCUUUCUUCUGUCCAAAUAUUUUAUCACUUCCUGAUGUCAAUAUGAUUUUUAAAUUUAUGUUUGAUUUAGAUAUUAUUUCAGUCAAAUUAGAGUUACAUAUAAGGAUAGUCUCACAUGAAAC
This 1452-nucleotide long non-coding RNA is filed under the name Marmota monax (woodchuck). The record is from RNAcentral. Lineage: Eukaryota; Metazoa; Chordata; Mammalia; Rodentia; Sciuridae.